AGCAAAAGUGGCCGAAUCUAGGCAAAAGACUGUAAAUCUUUUAAUGGCUAAAGCCCAUUGCAA
Molecule: transfer RNA, 63 nt
Filed under: Chamberlainia hainesiana
Lineage: Eukaryota; Metazoa; Mollusca; Bivalvia; Unionida; Unionidae
Description: tRNA-Tyr
Source: RNAcentral